AGUCGAGGGGCAGCACGGUAUAGCAAUAUAUGGGUGGCGACCGGCAAACGGGUGCGGAACACGUACACAACCUUCCGGUGAGCGGGGGAUAGCCCAGAGAAAUUUGGAUUAAUACCCCAUACUAUAAUGAUCAGGCAUCUGGGUAUUAUCAAAGGCUUCGGCCGCUUAUUGAUGGGUGUGCGUCUGAUUAGGUAGUUGGCGGGGUAGAGGCCCACCAAGCCUACGAUCAGUAGCUGAUGUGAGAGCAUGAUCAGCCACACGGGCACUGAGACACGGGCCCGACUCCUACGGGAGGCAGCAGUAAGGAAUAUUGGACAAUGGACGCAAGUCUGAUCCAGCCAUGCCGCGUGAAGGAUGAAUGCCCUCUGGGUUGUAAACUUCUUUUACAGGGGAAGAAAGUUAUCUUUUUUAGGAUAUUUGACGGUACCCUAUGAAUAAGCACCGGCUAACUCCGUGCCAGCAGCCGCGGUAAUACGGAGGGUGGAAGCGUUAUCCGGAUUCACUGGGUUUAAAGGGUGCGUAGGCGGGUAUGUAAGUCAGUGGUGAAAUACCGGAGCUUAACUUCGGAACUGCCAUUGAUACUAUAUAUCUUGAAUAUUGUGGAGGUAAGCGGAAUAUGUCAUGUAGCGGUGAAAUGCUUAGAGAUGACAUAGAACACCGAUUGCGAAGGCAGCUUACUACGCAAAUAUUGACGCUGAGGCACGAAAGCGUGGGGAUCAAACAGGAUUAGAUACCCUGGUAGUCCACGCCCUAAACGAUGAUUACUCGACAUUAGCGAUACACAGUUAGUGUCUGAGCGAAAGCAUUAAGUAAUC
This 815-nucleotide ribosomal RNA is filed under the name uncultured bacterium. RNAcentral describes it as "bacterial SSU rRNA". It matches the Rfam family "Bacterial small subunit ribosomal RNA", at positions 60 to 869 of the family's 1533-position model. The record is from RNAcentral.